CCAGGAGGCCCUGGAGAGGCAGAAGGACCAGAAACUCAUCAGAAAACCGUGGAAGCUCUCAAAACCCAUCAGGAGUUCCUGAGCUUUUUCUUUUGGCUGGCCACCAUGCUCAGCAGAGGGGAGGGAAAAACCACUUGAAUUGUCCUUUGGGAACAAAUACACCUGACCACUUCAUCUCCAGCCUGCAGGUGGGCAGAGCUGCUGCAGAGCUCCAGGGAACAUGCCUGGAGGCCAGCAUUGCUCUUCUGGCUUCACAUCACAUAGCAGAAGGGUUUGGUAGUGACACCACACAACGACCUCAGAGAAAUAGUGUCUCUUAAUAACAGUUAAAUGGUACAAAAUACUGGAAACCAGAGUCUCCAGCUGUUACAAUGGAACACAAUGGAGCAAAAGCUGGUGGUAUUUUUUAAAAUAUUAUUUGCUGUUCUGUUACAUUCAAUGUGAAUUUUCAUUCAAUGUUACAUUGAUUUUUCUCGACCUGGUAGUUCCUCCUUUGGUUUAAAAUAAUUGCCUAACAACCUUUAAUUAUUUCCCCCUCUGUUUUGAAUACAUAUUCUAGAAGACCAUCAUUAUUAUCUAACUAUUGUUUUUGUUUAUCUUAAUUGAAACUACUUUUUUUUUUUUUUCCCGUUAUGGCUGUGGUUUUAAAAUUGCUUGUUUUCAGAAAAAAGCCACCAUUCCUUCCCACUGGUCAGGCAGUACAUAUAAUGCUACCAUGGUAUGAAUAUCCAUCACUAGGAAAGAUACAGCUGAUAGCAAGAAUAGCAUCACUCAGACAAAGUUUAAAAACUAAAGCUAGCUGAUGUUUAAAAACUAAAGCUGGCUGAUGAAGCCACGUCUUUAAAGACAUUCAAUGACCUUCCUGAUGAAACAUUGAUUUUCUGAGUUUCAUCAAUGUUUUUUCAGCAUACUUCAAGAAUAGAUUGUAACUAUCUGUAAGUUGUUCUUUCUUUUGGAAUCAGUCUCAGAAUAAUUCCUGUGAAAAAUUCCUGCUUGUAUCUUGUUUGUGAGCAGCUCACCGGGAGGUGAUAUAAUAUUUGGUAUUUUAUACAUUUUGAUGGGAAAGACAGGCUAUGUGAUACAGUUCUGAACCCCGAGUAGAUCAGGUAAGCUCUCAAAAUUAACCUUCUCAGGCAAUUAUAAUUAUCAGCUGAUAACUCCCCCAAGUAUUCAGCCUGGGUACACUGCAGAAAUUAUCUUAUUUUUCAUGCUUUAAAGAUGAGCUCUUAUAAAAACUUUUGUUUGUGAUCCAACAAACUUUAAUACAGCCCUUUGUUUGUAUUCUAACGUGUUUCUAUACCCUUGAGUGAAGGACAUGACCCCAAGGAACUCUCGUGUUUAUGAUCUGCCCGGCAGCUGCGCGCUGCUCUGGGAGGAAGGAGCAAGGCUGGGCUGAGCUUCCCCGCGUGUCCCCGUGCUGCCGGGGACCGAACUGCCACCGCGCGGACACUCUGCCAACCUGCACAUUCCCGCAAAUACGAGGAGCAAGAGAGAUUUGGGAGCCGAUCAGAAGAGCAGAGAACUGGGAACUGUUAACCAGUGAAGUCCCAAGCAUCCCUAUUUACCACAUUAUUGUACAGGAAUGAUUGACAUUUCCAUCAUAGCUGCUUUUCUGACAACGUUGAAACAUUGCUCGAGGCAGCUCUAUAGCUACACCUGUGCCCCAGACAUGAGAACCUUGGGAAAGUCGCAUACGAGGCAGCAAGAUGCAUGAGGACGACAUGAAGAAAACAUAAGAUUACUUUAAACAGAUGCAGCAUCCUCAAGGCAGGACACACCCUCCUC
Molecule: long non-coding RNA, 1785 nt
Organism: Corvus hawaiiensis (hawaiian crow)
Lineage: Eukaryota; Metazoa; Chordata; Aves; Passeriformes; Corvidae
Exons: 3
Source: RefSeq, a predicted model, not a curated record